This 497-nucleotide ribosomal RNA is filed under the name uncultured bacterium. RNAcentral's name for it is "partial 16S ribosomal RNA". It matches the Rfam family "Bacterial small subunit ribosomal RNA", at positions 28 to 507 of the family's 1533-position model. The record is from RNAcentral.
GAUGAACGCUGGCGGCGUGCCUAAUACAUGCAAGUCGAGCGAACAGACGAGGAGCUUGCUCCUCUGACGUUAGCGGCGGACGGGUGAGUAACACGUGGAUAACCUACCUAUAAGACUGGGAUAACUUCGGGAAACCGGAGCUAAUACCGGAUAAUAUAUUGAACCGCAUGGUUCAAUAGUGAAAGACGGUUUUGCUGUCACUUAUAGAUGGAUCCGCGCCGCAUUAGCUGGUUGGUAAGGUAACGGCUUACCAAGGCAACGAUGCGUAGCCGACCUGAGAGGGUGAUCGGCCACACUGGAACUGAGACACGGUCCAGACUCCUACGGGAGGCAGCAGUAGGGAAUCGUCCGCAAUGGGCGAAAGCUUGACGGAGCAACGCCGCGUGAGUGAUGAAGGUCUUCGGAUCGUAAAACUCUGUUAUUAGGGAAGAACAAAUGUGUAAGUAACUAUGCACGUCUUGACGGUACCUAAUCAGAAAGCCACGGCUAACUACGUG